This 463-nucleotide ribosomal RNA is filed under the name uncultured bacterium. RNAcentral describes it as "partial 16S ribosomal RNA". It matches the Rfam family "Bacterial small subunit ribosomal RNA", at positions 29 to 507 of the family's 1533-position model. The record is from RNAcentral.
AGUGAACGCUGGCGGCGUGCUUAAUACAUGCAAGUCGAACGAUGAAGUCCUAGCUUGCUCGGAUGGAUUAGUGGCGCACGGGUGAGUAAUAUAUAGUUAAUCUGCCUUGCACUGAGGAACAACAGUUGGAAACGAUUGCUAAUACCUCAUACUCCAACUUUACAUAAGUUAAGUUGGGAAAGUCUUUUCGGUGCAAGAUGAGACUAUAUCGUAUCAGCUAGUUGGUAAGGUAAUGGCUUACCAAGGCUAUGACGCGUAACUGGUCUGAGAGGAUGAUCAGUCACAUUGGAACUGAGACACGGUCCAAACUCCUACGGGAGGCAGCAGUAAGGAAUAUUGUGCAAUGGGGGAAACCCUGACGCAGCAACGCCGCGUGGAGGAUGACACUUUUCGGAGCGUAAACUCCUUUUGUUAGGGAAGAAUAAUGACGGUACCUAACGAAUAAGCACCGGCUAACUCCGUG